GUACUUACCUGGAUGGGGUCAAUGGAUGAUCAAGAAGGUCCAUGGCCUAGGUUAGUGACCUCCAUUGCACUCAGGAGGGGUGCUCGCCUAAGGUCUACCCAAGCGGUGGAGCCUACAUCAUAAUUUGUGUUAGGGGGACUUGCGUUCGCGCAGUCCCCAC
RNAcentral lists this small nuclear RNA (160 nucleotides) under Daucus carota subsp. sativus. RNAcentral describes it as "sRNA DCAR_sn00357". It matches the Rfam family "U1 spliceosomal RNA". From Rfam's summary of the family: U1 is a small nuclear RNA (snRNA) component of the spliceosome (involved in pre-mRNA splicing). Lineage: Eukaryota; Viridiplantae; Streptophyta; Magnoliopsida; Apiales; Apiaceae. The record is from Rfam by way of RNAcentral.